GGUGGAUGCCCUGGCAGUCAGAGGCGAUGAAGGACGUGCUAAUCUGCGAUAAGCGUCGGUAAGGUGAUAUGAACCGUUAUAACCGGCGAUUUCCGAAUGGGGAAACCCAGUGUGUUUCGACACACUAUCAUUAACUGAAUCCAUAGGUUAAUGAGGCGAACCGGGGGAACUGAAACAUCUAAGUACCCCGAGGAAAAGAAAUCAACCGAGAUUCCCCCAGUAGCGGCGAGCGAACGGGGAGCAGCCCAGAGCCUGAAUCAGUGUGUGUGUUAGUGGAAGCGUCUGGAAAGGCGCGCGAUACAGGGUGACAGCCCCGUACACAAAAAUGCACAUGCUGUGAGCUCGAUGAGUAGGGCGGGACACGUGGUAUCCUGUCUGAAUAUGGGGGGACCAUCCUCCAAGGCUAAAUACUCCUGACUGACCGAUAGUGAACCAGUACCGUGAGGGAAAGGCGAAAAGAACCCCGGCGAGGGGAGUGAAAAAGAACCUGAAACCGUGUACGUACAAGCAGUGGGAGCACGCUUAGGCGUGUGACUGCGUACCUUUUGUAUAAUGGGUCAGCGACUUAUAUUCUGUAGCAAGGUUAACCGAAUAGGGGAGCCGAAGGGAAACCGAGUCUUAACUGGGCGUUAAGUUGCAGGGUAUAGACCCGAAACCCGGUGAUCUAGCCAUGGGCAGGUUGAAGGUUGGGUAACACUAACUGGAGGACCGAACCGACUAAUGUUGAAAAAUUAGCGGAUGACUUGUGGCUGGGGGUGAAAGGCCAAUCAAACCGGGAGAUAGCUGGUUCUCCCCGAAAGCUAUUUAGGUAGCGCCUCGUGAAUUCAUCUCCGGGGGUAGAGCACUGUUUCGGCAAGGGGGUCAUCCCGACUUACCAACCCGAUGCAAACUGCGAAUACCGGAGAAUGUUAUCACGGGAGACACACGGCGGGUGCUAACGUCCGUCGUGAAGAGGGAAACAACCCAGACCGCCAGCUAAGGUCCCAAAGUCAUGGUUAAGUGGGAAACGAUGUGGGAAGGCCCAGACAGCCAGGAUGUUGGCUUAGAAGCAGCCAUCAUUUAAAGAAAGCGUAAUAGCUCACUGGUCGAGUCGGCCUGCGCGGAAGAUGUAACGGGGCUAAACCAUGCACCGAAGCUGCGGCAGCGACGCUUAUGCGUUGUUGGGUAGGGGAGCGUUCUGUAAGCCUGCGAAGGUGUGCUGUGAGGCAUGCUGGAGGUAUCAGAAGUGCGAAUGCUGACAUAAGUAACGAUAAAGCGGGUGAAAAGCCCGCUCGCCGGAAGACCAAGGGUUCCUGUCCAACGUUAAUCGGGGCAGGGUGAGUCGACCCCUAAGGCGAGGCCGAAAGGCGUAGUCGAUGGGAAACAGGUUAAUAUUCCUGUACUUGGUGUUACUGCGAAGGGGGGACGGAGAAGGCUAUGUUGGCCGGGCGACGGUUGUCCCGGUUUAAGCGUGUAGGCUGGUUUUCCAGGCAAAUCCGGAAAAUCAAGGCUGAGGCGUGAUGACGAGGCACUACGGUGCUGAAGCAACAAAUGCCCUGCUUCCAGGAAAAGCCUCUAAGCAUCAGGUAACAUCAAAUCGUACCCCAAACCGACACAGGUGGUCAGGUAGAGAAUACCAAGGCGCUUGAGAGAACUCGGGUGAAGGAACUAGGCAAAAUGGUGCCGUAACUUCGGGAGAAGGCACGCUGAUAUGUAGGUGAGGUCCCUCGCGGAUGGAGCUGAAAUCAGUCGAAGAUACCAGCUGGCUGCAACUGUUUAUUAAAAACACAGCACUGUGCAAACACGAAAGUGGACGUAUACGGUGUGACGCCUGCCCGGUGCCGGAAGGUUAAUUGAUGGGGUUAGCCGCAAGGCGAAGCUCUUGAUCGAAGCCCCGGUAAACGGCGGCCGUAACUAUAACGGUCCUAAGGUAGCGAAAUUCCUUGUCGGGUAAGUUCCGACCUGCACGAAUGGCGUAAUGAUGGCCAGGCUGUCUCCACCCGAGACUCAGUGAAAUUGAACUCGCUGUGAAGAUGCAGUGUACCCGCGGCAAGACGGAAAGACCCCGUGAACCUUUACUAUAGCUUGACACUGAACAUUGAGCCUUGAUGUGUAGGAUAGGUGGGAGGCUUGGAAGUGUGGACGCCAGUCUGCAUGGAGCCGACCUUGAAAUACCACCCUUUAAUGUUUGAUGUUCUAACGUUGACCCGUAAUCCGGGUUGCGGACAGUGUCUGGUGGGUAGUUUGACUGGGGCGGUCUCCUCCUAAAGAGUAACGGAGGAGCACGAAGGUUGGCUAAUCCUGGUCGGACAUCAGGAGGUUAGUGCAAUGGCAUAAGCCAGCUUGACUGCGAGCGUGACGGCGCGAGCAGGUGCGAAAGCAGGUCAUAGUGAUCCGGUGGUUCUGAAUGGAAGGGCCAUCGCUCAACGGAUAAAAGGUACUCCGGGGAUAACAGGCUGAUACCGCCCAAGAGUUCAUAUCGACGGCGGUGUUUGGCACCUCGAUGUCGGCUCAUCACAUCCUGGGGCUGAAGUAGGUCCCAAGGGUAUGGCUGUUCGCCAUUUAAAGUGGUACGCGAGCUGGGUUUAGAACGUCGUGAGACAGUUCGGUCCCUAUCUGCCGUGGGCGCUGGAGAACUGAGGGGGGCUGCUCCUAGUACGAGAGGACCGGAGUGGACGCAUCACUGGUGUUCGGGUUGUCAUGCCAAUGGCACUGCCCGGUAGCUAAAUGCGGAAGAGAUAAGUGCUGAAAGCAUCUAAGCACGAAACUUGCCCCGAGAUGAGUUCUCCCUGACCCUUUAAGGGUCCUGAAGGAACGUUGAAGACGACGACGUUGAUAGGCCGGGUGUGUAAGCGCAGCGAUGCGUUGAGCUAACCGGUACUAAUGAACCGUGAGGCUUAACCUU
Molecule: ribosomal RNA, 2884 nt
Filed under: Escherichia coli 5-172-05_S4_C2
Lineage: Bacteria; Pseudomonadati; Pseudomonadota; Gammaproteobacteria; Enterobacterales; Enterobacteriaceae
Description: bacterial LSU rRNA
Rfam family: Bacterial large subunit ribosomal RNA
Source: RNAcentral